GCAUAUCAAUAAGCGGAGGAAAAGAAACCAACUGGGAUUACCUUAGUAACGGCGAGUGAAGCGGUAAAAGCUCAAAUUUGAAAUCUGGUACUUUCAGUGCCCGAGUUGUAAUUUGUAGAAUUUGUCUUUGAUUAGGUCCUUGUCUAUGUUCCUUGGAACAGGACGUCAUAGAGGGUGAGAAUCCCGUUUGGCGAGGAUACCUUUUCUCUGUAAGACUUUUUCGAAGAGUCGAGUUGUUUGGGAAUA
This 246-nucleotide ribosomal RNA is filed under the name uncultured fungus. RNAcentral's name for it is "partial 26S ribosomal RNA". It matches the Rfam family "Eukaryotic large subunit ribosomal RNA", at positions 38 to 282 of the family's 3401-position model. The record is from RNAcentral. Lineage: Eukaryota; Fungi.